UACUAUACCAGUAAAUAUAAUUACCUGAAUUAUUAAUAGAUAUUUUCUUUAAACUUGAAGAAUUUGGCGGUAGUUUAGUCUUGUUGGAGGAACCUGUUUUUUAAUCGAUACUCCACGUGGAAUUUUACUUACUUUAUUAGUUUAUAUACCGUCAUUAUCAGAUAAUUUUAAAAAACAAUUAUUAAAGUUUAAAAAUGUUAAGCUAAAUUAGAUCAAGGUGUAGCUUAUGAGUAAGUUAGAAUGGGUUACAAUAAGUUUUAUUUAAUACGGAAUGGUUAUAUAUGAAAGUAUACCACGAAGGAGGAUUCAAUUGUAAUGUGAGUUUAAUAAGCUCGGGAGAUAUAAGCUCUAAACUAU
This 357-nucleotide ribosomal RNA is filed under the name Williamstimpsonia stimpsoni. Its description in RNAcentral is "partial 12S small subunit ribosomal RNA". Lineage: Eukaryota; Metazoa; Arthropoda; Malacostraca; Decapoda; Xanthidae. The record is from RNAcentral.